GAUGAACGCUGGCGGCGUGCUUAACACAUGCAAGUCGAACGAUGAACCUCACUUGUGGGGGGAUUAGUGGCGAACGGGUGAGUAACACGUGAGUAACCUGCCCUUGACUCUGGGAUAAGCCUGGGAAACCGGGUCUAAUACUGGAUACGACCUUCUGGCGCAUGCCCUGUUGGUGGAAAGCUUUUGUGGUUUUGGAUGGACUCGCGGCCUAUCAGCUUGUUGGUGGGGUAAUGGCCUACCAAGGCGACGACGGGUAGCCGGCCUGAGAGGGUGACCGGCCACACUGGGACUGAGACACGGCCCAGACGCCUACGGGAGGCAGCAGUGGGGAAUAUUGCACAAUGGGCGCAAGCCUGAUGCAGCGACGCCGCGUGAGGGAUGAAGGCCUUCGGGUUGUAAACCUCUUUCAGUAGGGAAGAAGCCGGCUUUUGGGUUGGUGACGGUACCUGCAGAAGAAGCGCCGGCUAACUACGUG
RNAcentral lists this ribosomal RNA (475 nucleotides) under uncultured bacterium. RNAcentral describes it as "partial 16S ribosomal RNA". It matches the Rfam family "Bacterial small subunit ribosomal RNA", at positions 28 to 507 of the family's 1533-position model. The record is from RNAcentral.